Molecule: ribosomal RNA, 253 nt
Filed under: uncultured bacterium
Lineage: Bacteria
Description: partial 16S ribosomal RNA
Rfam family: Bacterial small subunit ribosomal RNA
Source: RNAcentral
UACGAAGGGGGCUAGCGUUGCUCGGAAUUACUGGGCGUAAAGCGCACGUAGGCGGUCUUUUAAGUCGGGGGUGAAAUCCUGGAGCUCAACUCCAGAACUGCCUUCGAUACUGGAAGACUUGAGUCCGGGAGAGGUGAGUGGAACUGCGAGUGUAGAGGUGAAAUUCGUAGAUAUUCGCAAGAACACCAGUGGCGAAGGCGGCUCACUGGCCCGGUACUGACGCUGAGGUGCGAAAGCGUGAGGAGCAAACAGG